GGUAACAAGGAAGAGGUGCAACACGUCAUCAGCUAGAUUUAAAGGGUGACUGCCCUUCCUGAUCUGGUCUCGUUUUAGAUUUGGUUCAUUAAGAAAUGCUAGCAGCCAUGACUGAAUUCAGCCGUAAAUUGGUUUCGGGGUGUGGUUUGAUGUGGGUGUGUUUGCAGGUGGGAAGAGUUAGCCAAAUUAGUUUGUCAAUUACCUUCAGCUGGCUGGUGUGCGACCUGACUUUGGAUAGCCUAGCUCCAGGACUAGUUAGUGACCGUCAAUAAAUGGCAAUGUAAAUAAGACAAUAUAUUGAUGUUGCACACCUUUUAGUUCUCAUUAAAUGCUUUCAAUAUUUGUAUAUGCAUUCAUACAAUUUAUAGUUGGUCAUUGACAUUUGGAGCUAUUGGAAUCUUUACGUAUUAUCCCAUGUACUGUACUUGUGUAAUUUACCUAUGGUCCCUAACUAGCCCCAUAGGGAUGUCCAAAGUCAACCCAAAUUUACCACAGGCAUUAAGAUCAGGAUGCAUGCAGCUGCACUCCGAAUUGAUGAUUACUUGUCUGCUGCCAGCUGUGGUCAUGUGAUUGAAACAUGCCCAUUUUUCAUUUUAUGUUGUAAUGAAGUCACGACCACAAGACUCACAACUCAGGUUUGGACGAGACUGACUUUUACCAACAUUUUCUAUUUACACUUUGUAGUCAAUUGACAGUAGAAUACUUUUAUACGCACAAUUAAAAACAACCCUAUUUGUGGCCCAAGUCCAGUUUCAUUCACUGUGUUCCUGGCAUCGUCUGCUGUGACAGGAAUUGUUAUGUUGGGCCUCAAGUAGAAGUCUAAAAAGUUGGACCCAUUCCGAAAUGGACCUGGGCAAAUAUGCAUGAAAUUUUUUUCCAAUAUAGAGACCCGUUCCGAACAGACCCGAGGAUAACCAGUUCCGUAUAGACAUGAUCUGAUCCGGGAACAGCAGAAAUCCAUUUGUAAGCUACUUUAUUAACCAGAGCUGAUACAGAGCAGGUGGAGGAGGGGUCUUGCGGUGUGUGUGUGCUGUGAGCGAGUGCCACGGGACCAAGGAGGGAGAGACAGAAACCAACCAUAACAAGCCGACUCGCGCUAGAAUACAAACUUGUAGCUUGUCAUAGCUGGUUAUUUAUCAUCCAAUAUGAUUAUUUAGUACUGGUCUUGACUGCAACAAACUGAGAGAAGCUAGUUGGCUAAGACGGCUAGCUAUGUUAUCAAGCUAGGCUAAUUGAGUCUGCAUGCGCUUUCCUGACGUAGUUAAAAAUUACACCGUUCAGAUGAUUAAAUAGCAACCUACCUGGUGGCUCUUGGUCGUUGUACCAUACACUUACUUCCAUUUUCCGUUGAUUAGAUCAUCUCCUAAUUUGCUUCACCCGUUGCUUUGCCACACAUGGAGGCUGUAUGGACUGACUGUAUUGGCACAUUGAUGACUUGCGAUGGCCGACAAGCUACACACGCCACUCUGGGCCAUUCUCGUUGAGCAGUGGAGAACAUAUUAACGUUUUAUCCACAACUCUGUCCAUCGCUGUUGUAAUCGGCAGGGAAACCAAAAUGUUCCCAAACUGGAGAUUUAAACGAUGGAGGCUCCUCCAAUUCUGGUUUAUCGAGCCCACCACGCGCCAUCUACAGAGUUCCCGGCUGUGCCUCACAAAAGCAGAAUUUAAAAUCUGACAGUUAAUAUUAUUAUUUUGAUUACAACGUGAGCAUAGGUUGUAGUUGUUUUAAAGGAAUAACCUACAAUGUUUUUCAGCUUUACUCACGAGGCAGUGGCAUACAACGCAGCGUAGGCAUGGCGUUAUUGUUUUUAAAAUGUUUUUUUGUAUUAAUUCAGGUUCACAGUGUGGACCGAACCGAGGUCCCCGUGCCUAAUGGUUUGGUAUAUCUACACCUGUACCGUUACAGCCCUAUCCUAGUAUACUGACAACCAGGGCAACUCAACUGUAAAGAAAAAUGUAAAUGUUCACAUAACAGCACAACACAACUCCAAACACGACAGGUGUGAAGUGCCAGAAGAGAUCGGACAUCAAGGCAUCAAUAGAAUAUAUUUAUUGCAAUGCUACAGAGGAUUCUAUAGAUAUUGACAGGCAUUGGUUUUGAAAAGCAUUUGGCGACAGCAGCCAGGUAAACAAAACCAGAGACUGAUAACAGGGUUAUAAAAUCACUAUGUAAUUUGUGUAAACUAUCCCUUUAACUACAUCAUUUGGGGGAAAUAAAACAGGCUGUGCAAUUGUGGAUUUAAAAGUUUACAAU
This is a long non-coding RNA of Coregonus clupeaformis (lake whitefish), 2254 nucleotides long. RefSeq lists it as uncharacterized. The transcript is spliced from 2 exons. NCBI's taxonomy places the organism in Eukaryota, Metazoa, Chordata, Actinopteri, Salmoniformes, Salmonidae. The record is from RefSeq and is a predicted model, not a curated record.